RNAcentral lists this ribosomal RNA (262 nucleotides) under uncultured bacterium. RNAcentral describes it as "partial 16S ribosomal RNA". It matches the Rfam family "Bacterial small subunit ribosomal RNA", at positions 514 to 775 of the family's 1533-position model. The record is from RNAcentral.
GCCGCGGUAAUACGUAGGGUCCAAGCGUUGUCCGGAUUUAUUGGGCGUAAAGAGCUCGUAGGCGGCUCAGUAAGUCGGAUGUGAAAACUCGGGGCUCAACCCCGGAAUUGCAUUCGAUACUGGCGUGCUCGAGUGCGGGAGAGGGAAGCGGAAUUCCUGGUGUAGAGGUGAAAUUCGUAGAUAUCAGGAGGAACACCAGUGGCGAAAGCGGCUUCCUGGCCCGAUACUGACGCUCAUGUACGAAAGCGUGGGGAGCAAACAG